GACGAACGCUGGCGGCGUGCCUAACACAUGCAAGUCGAGCGAAUGAGGUUCCUUCGGGAAUGGAUUUAGCGGCGGACGGGUGAGUAACACGUGGGCAACCUGCCUCAUAGAGGGGAAUAGCCUCCCGAAAGGGAGAUUAAUACCGCAUAAGAUUGUAGUACCGCAUGAUACAGCAAUUAAAUGAGCAAUCCGCUAUGAGAUGGGCCCGCGGCGCAUUAGCUAGUUGGUGAGGUAAUGGCUCACCAAGGCGACGAUGCGUAGCCGACCUGAGAGGGUGAUCGGCCACAUUGGGACUGAGACACGGCCCAGACUCCUACGGGAGGCAGCAGUGGGGAAUAUUGCACAAUGGGGGAAACCCUGAUGCAGCAACGCCGCGUGAGUGAUGACGGCCUUCGGGUUGUAAAGCUCUGUCUUCAGGGACGAUAAUGACGGUACCUGAGGAGGAAGCCACGGCUAACUACGUG
Molecule: ribosomal RNA, 464 nt
Filed under: uncultured bacterium
Lineage: Bacteria
Description: partial 16S ribosomal RNA
Rfam family: Bacterial small subunit ribosomal RNA
Source: RNAcentral